This 3657-nucleotide long non-coding RNA is filed under the name Equus asinus (donkey). RNAcentral's name for it is "lncRNA (ENSEASG00005025837.1)". Lineage: Eukaryota; Metazoa; Chordata; Mammalia; Perissodactyla; Equidae. The record is from RNAcentral.
GCCAAAGUGACAUGGCUAAUAAUGGUAGAGUUAGGAUUAGAGCCCAGACUGUCUGACUCCAAACACCGCCACUAACCCUACCGGCCACAGAGAGAUAGAUUGACAACUUGUAAUUACUGAACCAAUGCUGGCAACAACGGCUUGGCUUGGACUAAUGGAAGGAAGACGAGGCCUGAAUUAAAACAAAACACUGGAUAAUCCAAAACCCAAUUUCAUUUGGCUCAGGAAUAGAGCCAGAGACAUCCUCUCAGAGGAGCAGCUACAUUCAAACCAUCUGGACUUGGCCCCGAUCGGUACCCGGGGCUGACAUUCCCUGGAAGCGAUCCUCGAAGGAUCCAGCCCUUCCUUCCAGGCAGCCCUGAGCUAGUACACCUCAAGAUUCUCCAGAAAAAGAACGUCCACACACACCUCUGGAAGCCAGGAGGAAAAACAUACUCCUGAAUUUGAAAAAACAACCUAUGAUUCACCCUGGAGUGACUCUGCGAGAGGGCCAGGCAAAGGUCCACUCCCCGACCCGUGCUGGGAGGGCAAGCCGAGAGCUGCCCAUGUCGCAGGAUGAGAUCCCAGCUCCUAUUCUGACUUAUCGAACAUAUCCAGCUCCUCGGGUUUCUCAGAGCUCUCCUGCCAACUGCAGCAACCACAGGCGGAUCCCGCCUUGAGCACAGCCCAGAUGUGGAAGCGCGAGCUGGUUACUCCCUCUCCAUGUGUCUGCCAAGCUGAUAUAUCCUCGCUUUCCACCCAGAGAGAGUGAGGGGGCUGAGAAAGACCUUGUGGGCCUACCUGCCCCUCCUUCCCCUGCCAGGUUUCUGUCACAUCCUAAAGGAGAUUUUCUGGGAAAGGGUUUUCCUGGCAGGGCCUGGGUGGAGCAGCCUGGUACAGCCCUCCGUGUCUGGCUCCCAGUGAGACUUUCCAGGGGGCCUGUGCUAGCCUCCCCUUCCUUCAGGUCCUGUAACGGACUCCCACAGAGUGCUCCUGCUUCAGAGGGUGGAGCCGAGGAGGCCCAGGACACCAGUGGAAAGGAGAUGAGCAGCCAUCUGACAUGCUCAAGUACACACACAUGUACGUGGAGAAGAGGCCGUCUGAGGACACUGCAAGGAGCUGGCCGUCCACAAGCCAGGAAGAGAGGCCUCACCAGAAACCAACCUGCCUGUACCUUGCUCUUGGACUCUCGGCCUCUGGAACUGUAUUUUCAAGAGACUUGAAAAGCUGUUUCAAAAAUGUACAUGGCAGGGCAACUGUCCAAGAAAGCCAAGACACUCCUGAAAAAGAAUCUCCAUGACCAAGGGUAAGUGAAAACGAGGAAAACAACACUGAGGAUGGGAGGGGACUACUGUACCGUGACUUGCUGCUAAGCUGGAGUAAUAAAGAUAGUGUUCAUUGGAACAAAGACCGACAAAUGGACCAAGUGAACAGAACAGAGAACCUAGAACAACAUCCAUGUAUAUGUGGAAGCUUGAUUUAUGACCAAGUGGACAUUUCAGAUAGCGGAUAAAGCCUGGGCCACUUAAUAAACGGUACUGAGACAACUGGUUAAUUAGACAGAAAUGAGUGAAAUUGCAUCCCUGCCUCCCAGCAUACACCAAAAACUCCAUUGUGGGACUGAAAUGUGAAAGAUAAAACUGUAAAAUCUUUAAAAGGCAACGUAUAGAAAUAUUUUUAUAUGCUCAGGGACAGGGAGAACUUCUGAAUCAAGAACAAAAAGCUCAAAUGAUAAAGGAAACAACUGAUAAAUUCAACUACAUUUUAUUUUUUGAGGAAGAUUAGCCCUGAACUAACAUCUGCUGCCAAUCCUCUUUUUGCUGAGGAAGACUGGCCCUGAGCUAACAUCCAUGCCCACCUUCCUCUACUUUAUAUGUGGGACGCCUACCACAGCAUGGCUUGCCAAGCGGUGCCAUGUCUGCACCCGGGAUCCGAACCAGCGAACCCUGGGCUGCCGAAGCGGAACGUGCGCACUUAACCACUGAGCCACUGGGCCGGCCCCUCAACUACAUUUUAAAAGGAGAGAGUAAAAAGGCAAUUUACUGGGAAACCAUAAUUGGAGCACAUUUAACUAACAAAAGAUUAAUAUGGAGAAUAUAUAAAGGACUCCUAUACAUCAAAAAGAAAAAGCAAAAAUAAAUUAUAACCAUGAGCAAAAGCCUGAAGAAAGCAUUUCACAGAAGAGGAAAUACAAAUGGCCCGUCGACAUGUGAAAAUGUGCUUGACCUCUUCAGUCAUCAGAGAAAUGCACAUUAAAACCUUGAUGAGAUGCUCUGUCACAUGUAGUCUCACCACACCUACCCCUUCAUACUUACCAGACUGACUACAAUUAGAAAGUGGGUCACCCCAGGUCCCGGAUAGGAUGUGGGCAACAACAGGAACUGCCAUCACAGCUCAUGGUAACAUAAAUUGAUACAACUACUUUGAAAAAAGUUUAGCUUUAUCUAAUAAAGAGAUUAAUAUGCAUAUUUUCUACCACCCAGCAAUUCCACUCCUGUGUUAUGUACCCUUGACAAUUUCCUACCCAAGAGUUCCAGGCGACAUGCACAGAUGUUGGUAGCAGGGUUGUUUAGCAGAGCCAGGACCCGGGGGAGGAAGAGAGGCUCCUGGGGCACAGAAGGGAGGUGGCAGUCAGCCCAAACCUCCUUCUAGGUUGUUGCCUCUAGUGUCGCACCCUCAGUGUCUGCAGUGGGUUGAAUGUUUGCCCAAAAGAUACAUGCACAUCCCGAAGCCUGUGAAUGUGACAUUAUCUGGGAAAAGGGUCUUUGAAGAUGUAAUUAAAUUAAGGAUCUGGAGAUGAGAUCAUUUCGGGAUAAUCUGGGUGGGCCCUAAAUUCAAUGACAAGUGUCCUUAUAAGAGACACAAGGAAACAGGGGGAAGGUCAUGUGUGGACGGAGGCAGAGAUUGGAAUCAUGCUGCCACCGGCCAUAAACCAAGCAAGACCUGGAGCGACCAGAAGUUAGAAGAGGCCAGGAAGGAUUCUAUCCUGGAUCCUUAAAGGGAGCAAGGCCCUGCUGACACCUUGGUUACAGACUUCUGGCCUCCAGAACUGUGAGAGAAUAAAUUUAUGUUGUUUUAAGCCACUACAUUUGUGGCCAUUUAUUACAGCAGCCACAGGAAACUAACAGAGGGUCUCUCUUGCCCCACUGUAGUCCCAGCUCUGUUGGAAAAGAAGGAAACAAUCGUCAUGUCUAUCAGUAGACAUGUAGAAUACACGAAUAAUUUGUGGUGGUAUCCCACAAUGGAAUGUUAUAGCUGAAUGAAUGAACUGCAGGUACAUGGGUCAAUUUCAAUGAAUCUCAAACAAAUGUUGAGUGAAAGAAGCAAAUUGGAGAAAACUACAAAUAGGUGAUCUCAUUAAUACAAAUUUCAAAAUUAGGUAAAAGGAAACAAUGUAUUGUUUAGGUUUCCAUGCACAGGGAGUAAAGCUAUAAAGAAAAAGCAAGUGACUGAUAAUGCAAAAUAGUGAUUUCUUGUGGGAGAGCGGAGCAUACCACUGGGAAGAGGCAUUCAGGGCUUGUAAGUUGUGGGGUUUAAGCUGGAUACUGCGUACAAUGGUAUUUCUUGUAUUAUUCCUCUUUACACUCUAUGUGUACCUUUUAUAGACUUUUUGAUAUUUCUGAUAUCAUUUAUAAUAAAAACUAAUUAACAAAGAAAGUAAAGCCUUCUGGAAAUUAA